AUGUACAACUGUAUGUCCAACAUGCAGAUCUUUGCAUGCUUAAACAACUCAAUUCAGGCUAUCUAUGAAAAUUUAGAGGAUUUGUGGAACCAAAUCACCGACGAUUUCAACGAAAAUAGUCUUCAUGAACGACGGAGGCAGACAAUCCAAUGCAAGCGACACUGGUAUAAGCUGAAUCAUAGAAUUGUCCUAUUUGUUAGCAUGUGGCGUAGGGUGAGAGAUUUGUACAUUAAUGGCAGAUCCAGUGAUGAAUUAGUGUCUAGAGCACUUGAUCUGUACAAGUCAGAAACAAACAAGUCCUUCAAAGAUCUGAACUCAUGCAAUAUGCUAAGGAAUGAGCCCCACUGGAACUGGAUCAACUUCCUAGUGAUAAGACAAUGA
RNAcentral lists this ribosomal RNA (381 nucleotides) under Triticum aestivum (bread wheat). RNAcentral's name for it is "partial small subunit ribosomal RNA". The record is from RNAcentral. Lineage: Eukaryota; Viridiplantae; Streptophyta; Magnoliopsida; Poales; Poaceae.